Molecule: long non-coding RNA, 614 nt
Organism: Triticum dicoccoides
Lineage: Eukaryota; Viridiplantae; Streptophyta; Magnoliopsida; Poales; Poaceae
Exons: 2
Source: RefSeq, a predicted model, not a curated record
AAUACCAAUGUCAUAUUUCAAUUAGAAAAUAAGAUUUAGUUUGAUCAUGCAUGCAAUUGUAAUAACCCUACUUUGAGCUUUUAUGUACUGGUUUAAAUAGUUAAAUCUUCUAGAUUCUUUUGCAUAUUUUCUUGGAAUUAUACUAUGAGAGCAUCUUAGUUUUCACUAAGUGAUAAAAUACAUUUUCUAUUUCCGUAAUACAGGUCAUUAGUGGUCACUUGGGAUGGGUGCGAUCUGUAGCAUUUGAUCUAGGGAACAAAUGGUUUUGUCCUGGUUUUGCUGAUAGGACAAUAACGGCAAGGAAGAAGGUUGCAGAGCACGGAUGGAUGUGAAAAGGAAGAGGAUGGAUGAGAGAGGAGAGAAGAGGGGUGAAAGAGGAUACAGAUGGAAAGAGGGAGAAGGACAGGGUGGAGGCGCUUCUUGAGGAUUAUUGUCGACUGAUUUCACACUCUCUUAUAAAUUCAUGGUUAGCUAGGUAAACCUUUUGUACAACAGCUCUUGUUCAAAAGGAAGUUUGAUUUUUCGGCUUCUUAUUUUAGGUCAAUAUCAAGAACAGUUUAGUUAAUUUAGUUUAAUGUUUAUGUUUGAAAUUGACUUUUACCAUUCUGGUUGAA